Pygoscelis adeliae (Adelie penguin) is the source of this 1408-nucleotide long non-coding RNA. RefSeq lists it as uncharacterized. The transcript has a single exon. The record is from RefSeq and is a predicted model, not a curated record. Lineage: Eukaryota; Metazoa; Chordata; Aves; Sphenisciformes; Spheniscidae.
AGGGCCAAGUAAGUUGUUAAGUCGGUUAUCCAAAGAUUCAGGAGAACAUGCAUUCUGCGUUCACGGUUCGGUUACCAGUCCUCUAGGUAAUGAAGCAGAAGAUACUGAGAGGAAAGAGUCUGUUGAUUUAACAGAACAUUCAACUGAUGAAGACUCUGCCUGUUUAUCUGAUGACAAUUUAGAUCGUAUUGGAAGGAGACCUGAAGCUGGUAGAAAUAUUGAGAGCUGCACUUCUGCUGAAACUGGGGAGAGUCCAGACUUGGAUUCAGAGGCAAAUAGUGAGAGCUCUCUUGGUGAUGAGUCUAAUGAUGUAAAUCACGUAGCACCUAAAAAGCGAUGGCAGCGUUUUAACCAAAGCAGUGCUAGAUCUAAUAAGCACAUCAGUAGAUCUAGGGAACAAGGAAACUUGGAGAGUGCCUUUGGCCUGAAUUCUCGUGGCUUUUCACUGAAGGGAAAUGAGUGCUUGGGACGUAGGCAUUCCCCUCAUUCAAAGGUGCUUGAGGGAGACCUGACAGAUCAGGACUAUGAGAAUCAUUUAGACUUAGUUGAGAAACGUUUGAAUGUAUGUGGUAAGCCAAACAACAGUGUGAUGGACUCAGAAACAGAGCUUGGCAACUUUGCUCCCCAGUCUGAAUUCUCUGCACAAGGUAAGGGAGCUGGACUUGCGCCAGAGUGUGUAUUUGUAUACAUUUUAUACUUUUUCAUUUAAAGCAUAAGUUAUGGAACUUGGGGUGUUUGACAACAUGGAGAUGUAUACCUCUGAGCUGAAGAAACUGUGAUACCUUGGUCUGGGGUUCUCUGUAAGCACGGAGAGCAAAAGGCAGAGCAGUUAAGGGAUUUUGCUUAGCUUUUUGGUUAGAAAGUUUAAAUACAUUACAAAUUACUAGUUCCUCCACAGUGAAAGGUAAAAUAAGCAUCCUUCUGAGUUUGGGAUUUUUUUUAAACUUAUACCUUAAUGUGUUGCUUAGAGCCACGUGCUUGGUGUUAACUGGAUAGAUCAGCGCUAGAAAGCUGUGGGAAACAGCCUCAAUGGCUGCUUUUUUUUUUUUCCCUAGUGCUGUUUGACAUAGAGUCUGUCUUUGGUUUGCUCUGUAGGAUUUCAUUGAGACAAUGCAUUGGGGUGUUUUUGGCGUUUCAGUGUGGAAUUUUAUUAGCUGCUAAUAAAACGAAUUGGGGAACCCCACAGAUUUCCUAAUUUACAGCUCUGGUGUGGCUGCCUGAGGGAUGAAGGGGAGAAAAGAAGAGGGCAGAAGCUGCCAGGGAGGCUGGGCUGGAGGUGGGUCUGGAAGAUGGCAGGCAGAAGUAAGGCAGCAUCACUGGAAGGGAAGUGACCUAAGAAGAAGGAGGCUUCUGAAGACCACAAGCUCAGACAGCCCUGCCUCUCCCACAGAGAUGGGGACAUUUCGUU